UACGUAGGCAGCGAGCGUUGUUCGGAAUUACUGGGCGUAAAGAGUGUGUAGGCGGUGCUCCCAGUCUGUUGUGAAAUCUCCCGGCUUAACUGGGAGGGUGCAGCGGAAACUAGAGUGCUAGAGGGUGGGAGAGGUAAGCGGAGUUCCUGGUGUAGCGGUGAAAUGCGCAGAUAUCAGGAGGAACACCGAUGGCGAAGGCAGCUCGCUGGGACGGUACUGACGCUGAGGCGCGAAAGCGUGGGGAGCAAACAGG
This 253-nucleotide ribosomal RNA is filed under the name uncultured bacterium. RNAcentral's name for it is "partial 16S ribosomal RNA". It matches the Rfam family "Bacterial small subunit ribosomal RNA", at positions 524 to 776 of the family's 1533-position model. The record is from RNAcentral.